RNAcentral lists this ribosomal RNA (375 nucleotides) under uncultured bacterium. Its description in RNAcentral is "bacterial SSU rRNA". It matches the Rfam family "Bacterial small subunit ribosomal RNA", at positions 521 to 896 of the family's 1533-position model. The record is from RNAcentral.
UAAUACGUAGGGUGCGAGCGUUAAUCGGAAUUACUGGGCGUAAAGCGUGCGCAGGCGGUUCUCCAAGUCCGUUGUGAAAGCCCCGGGCUCAACCUGGGAAUGGCAGUGGAAACUAGGGGACUGGAAUCUGGCAGAGGGGGGUGGAAUGCCGCGUGUAGCAGUGAAAUGCGUAGAGAUGCGGCGGAACACCGAUGGCGAAGGCAGCCCCCUGGGCUGAGAUUGACGCUCAGGCACGAAAGCGUGGGGAGCAAACAGGAUUAGAUACCCUGGUAGUCCACGCCCUAAACUAUGUCAACUGGUUGUCGGGGAAGCAAUUCCUUGGUAACGAAGCUAACGCGUGAAGUUGACCGCCUGGGGAGUACGGCCGCAAGGUUA